RNAcentral lists this ribosomal RNA (433 nucleotides) under uncultured bacterium. RNAcentral's name for it is "partial 16S ribosomal RNA". It matches the Rfam family "Bacterial small subunit ribosomal RNA", at positions 29 to 507 of the family's 1533-position model. The record is from RNAcentral.
AACGAACGCUGGCGGCAGGCCUAACACAUGCAAGUCGAGCGGACCCUUCGGGGUUAUCGGCGGACGGGGGAGUAACGAGUGGGAAUAUGCCCUUCUCUACGGAAUAGUCGUGGGUAAGUGGGGGUAAUACCGUAUACGCCCUUUGGGGGUAGGAUUUAUGGGGGCAGGAUUAGCCCGCGUUGGAUUAGGUAGUUGGUGGGGUAAUGGCCUACCAAGACGACGAUCCAUAGCUGGUUUGAGAGGAUGAUCCGCCACACUGGGACUGCGACACGGCCCAGACUCCUACGGGAGGCAGCAGUGGGGAAUCUUAGACAAUGGGGGCAACCCUGAUCUAGCCAUGCCGCGUGAGUGAUGAAGGCCUUAGGGUUGUAAAGCUCUUUCAGCUGGGAAGAUAAUGACGGUACCAGCAGAAGAAGCCCCGGCUAACUCCGUG